This 405-nucleotide ribosomal RNA is filed under the name uncultured bacterium. RNAcentral describes it as "bacterial SSU rRNA". It matches the Rfam family "Bacterial small subunit ribosomal RNA", at positions 355 to 774 of the family's 1533-position model. The record is from RNAcentral.
UGGGGAAUUUUACGCAAUGGGGGAAACCCUGACGUAGCGACACCGCGUGAGCGAAGAAGCCUUUUGGGGUGUAAAGCUCUGUCAGCUGGAACAAACACAAUGACGGUACCAGCAGAGGAAGCAUCGGCUAACUACGUGCCAGCAGCCGCGGUAAGACGUAGGAUGCAAGCGUUGUCCCGAUUCAUUGGGCGUAAAGAGUUCGUAGGUGGUCUGUUAAGUUUGGUGUUAAAGAGCGGGGCCCAACCCCGAUAGUGCACUGAAUACUGGCAGACUUGAGUGCGGUAGAGGUAAGUGGAAUUCCAAGUGUAGCGGUGAAAUGCAUAGAUAUUUGGAAGAACACCGGUGGCGUAAGCGACUUACUGGGCCGUAACUGACACUGAGGAACGAAAGCCGGGGUAGCGAAUG